Molecule: ribosomal RNA, 253 nt
Filed under: uncultured bacterium
Lineage: Bacteria
Description: partial 16S ribosomal RNA
Rfam family: Bacterial small subunit ribosomal RNA
Source: RNAcentral
UACGAAGGGGGCUAGCGUUGCUCGGAAUUACUGGGCGUAAAGCGCGCGUAGGCGGACAUGUCAGUCAGGCGUGAAAGCCCGGGGCUCAACCCCGGAACUGCGCCCGAUACUGCGUGGCUGGAGUGCCGGAGAGGAUGGCGGAAUUUCCGGUGUAGAGGUGAAAUUCGUAGAUAUCGGAAGGAACACCAGUGGCGAAGGCGGCCAUCUGGACGGUGACUGACGCUGAGACGCGAAAGCGUGGGGAGCAAACAGG